CCUACGGGAGGCAGCAGUGGGGAAUAUUGGACAAUGGGCGAAAGCCUGAUCCAGCCAUGCCGCGUGUGUGAAGAAGGCCUUCGGGUUGUAAAGCACUUUCAGUGGGGAAGAAAGCCUUGGGGCUAAUACCCUCGAGGAAGGACAUCACCCACAGAAGAAGCACCGGCUAACUCCGUGCCAGCAGCCGCGGUAAUACGGAGGGUGCGAGCGUUAAUCGGAAUUACUGGGCGUAAAGCGCGCGUAGGCGGUCUGAUAAGCCGGUUGUGAAAGCCCGGGCUCAACCUGGGAACGGCAUCCGGAACUGUCAGGCUAGAGUGCAGGAGAGGAAGGUAGAAUUCCCGGUGUAGCGGUGAAAUGCGUAGAGAUCGGGAGGAAUACCAGUGGCGAAGGCGGCCUUCUGGACUGACACUGACGCUGAGGUGCGAAAGCGUGGGUAGCAAACAGGAUUAGAUACCCCAGUAGUC
Molecule: ribosomal RNA, 464 nt
Filed under: Vreelandella stevensii
Lineage: Bacteria; Pseudomonadati; Pseudomonadota; Gammaproteobacteria; Oceanospirillales; Halomonadaceae
Description: partial 16S ribosomal RNA
Rfam family: Bacterial small subunit ribosomal RNA
Source: RNAcentral